CCUACGGGGUGCAGCAGUGAGGAAUAUUGGUCAAUGGCCGCAGGGCUGAACCAGCCAAGUCGCGUGAGGGAUGACGGUCCUAUGGAUUGUAAACCUCUUUUGUCAGGGAGCAAAGGGCGCCACGUGUGGCGCUUUGCGAGUACCUGAAGAAAAAGCAUCGGCUAACUCCGUGCCAGCAGCCGCGGUAAUACGGAGGAUGCGAGCGUUAUCCGGAUUUAUUGGGUUAAAAGGGGGCGCAGGCGGAAUGUCAAGUCAGCGGUAAAAUUUCGGGGCUCAACCCCGUCGUGCCGUUGAAACUGGCGUUCUUGAGUGAGCGAGAAGUAUGCGGAAUGCGUGGUGUAGCGGUGAAAUGCAUAGAUAUCACGCAGAACUCCGAUUGCGAAGGCAGCAUACCGGCGCUCAACUGACGCUCAUGCACGAAAGCGUGGGUAUCGAACAGGAUUAGAUACCCGUGUAGUC
RNAcentral lists this ribosomal RNA (459 nucleotides) under uncultured bacterium. RNAcentral's name for it is "partial 16S ribosomal RNA". It matches the Rfam family "Bacterial small subunit ribosomal RNA", at positions 338 to 795 of the family's 1533-position model. The record is from RNAcentral.